Molecule: ribosomal RNA, 221 nt
Filed under: uncultured bacterium
Lineage: Bacteria
Description: partial 16S ribosomal RNA
Rfam family: Bacterial small subunit ribosomal RNA
Source: RNAcentral
GUAUAGUAUGGGAGUACUGCCUGAUGGGGGGGGAUAACUACUGGAAACGGUAGCUAAUACCGCAUAACGUCGCAAGACCAAAGAGGGGACCUUAGGGCCUCUUGCCAUCGGAUGUGCCCAGAUGGGAUUAGCUAGUAGGUGGGGUAACGGCUCACCUAGGCGACGAUCCCUAGCUGGUCUGAGAGGAUGACCAGCCACACUGGAACUGAGACACGGUCCAG